ACGCUCGACACCUACGGGGGGCAGCAGUGGGGAAUAUUGCACAAUGGGGGAAACCCUGAUGCAGCGACGCCGCGUGAGCGAAGAAGUAUUUCGGUAUGUAAAGCUCUAUCAGCAGGGAAGAUAAUGACGGUACCUGACUAAGAAGCUCCGGCUAAAUACGUGCCAGCAGCCGGCGGUAAUCUGAGCGGGCUGGCAAGGC
This 199-nucleotide ribosomal RNA is filed under the name uncultured bacterium. Its description in RNAcentral is "partial 16S ribosomal RNA". It matches the Rfam family "Bacterial small subunit ribosomal RNA", at positions 328 to 539 of the family's 1533-position model. The record is from RNAcentral.